Molecule: long non-coding RNA, 1752 nt
Organism: Pan troglodytes (chimpanzee)
Lineage: Eukaryota; Metazoa; Chordata; Mammalia; Primates; Hominidae
Exons: 4
Source: RefSeq, a predicted model, not a curated record
UCAUGGAGGGAGUUUGUCCCUUUUUUGUCCUUUUGCCUUCUGCCACAUAAGGACACAGAAUUCCUCUCCAGAAGUAGCAGUUAAGAGGCCUUCUUGGAAGCAGAGACCAACUGCUUGGAAGCAGAGACCUCACCAGACAACAAACCUGCCAGCACCUGUGCCUUGAUCUCGAACUUUGCAGCCCCAGAACGAUUAUUUCUGUCUGGUGAAACUGAUCAUUCCAGAGCCUGAACUGAUGGCCUUAUGGGGAGUUCCCUAUGAUCCAUUGACAGAGGAAGAGAAAACUAGGGCCUAGCUCACAGAUGGCUCUGCAUGAUAAGUAGGCACCACUCAAAAGUGGACUGCUGCUGCACUACAGCCCCUUUCUAGGACAUCCCUAAUGGACAGUGGCAAAGGGAAAUCUCCCAGUGGGCAGACCUUCAAGCUCUGUACCUGAUUGUGCACUUUGCUUGGAAGAAGAACUGGCCAGAUAUGUGAUUAUAUACCAAUUCAUGGGCUGUAGCCAAUGGUUUGGAUAGGUGAUCCUGGACUUGGAAGAAGCAUGAUUGGAAAAUUGGUGACAAAAAAUUUGGGGAAGAGGUAUGUGGAUGGACCUCUCUAAGUGGUCAAAAAUGGUGAAGAUAUUUGUAUUUCAUGUGAGUGCUCACCAAAGUGUGACCUCAGCAGAGGGGGAUUUUAAUAAUGAAGUGUAUAGGAUGACUCAUUCUGUGGACACCACUCAGCCUCUUUCCCCAGCCAGCCCUGUCAUCGUCCAAUGGGCCCAUGAAAAAAGUGGCCAUAGUAGCAGGGAUGGAAGUUAUGCCUGGGCUCAGCAACAUGGACUUCCACUCACCAAGGCUGACCACCAACAAACUGGGCCACCACUGGGUAGCAGAGACCAUCACUGAAUCCUUGAUAUGGCACAAUUCCCUGGGGUGAUCCGAUAGCUACUUGGUGGCAGGUUGACUAUAUUAGACCUCUUCCAUUAUGGAAAGGGCAGCGGUUUGUCCUCACUGGAAUAGACACUUACUCUUGCUAUGGGUUUGCCUCUCCUGCACACAAUGCUUCUGCCACGACUACCAUCCAUGGACUCAGGGAAUGCCUUAUCCACCAUCAUGUUAUUCCACAUAGCAUUGCCUCUGACCAAGGUACCCACUUUAUGGCUAAAGAAGUACAGCAGUGGACUCACACUCAUGGGAUUCACUGGUCUUACCAUUUUCCCCAUCAUCCUGAAGCAGCUGGAUUGAUAGAAUGGUAGAAUGUCCAUUUGAAGUCACAAUUACAAUGCCACCUAGGUGACAAUACUUUGCAGGGCUGAAGGAAAGUUCUUCAGAAAGCUAUGAAUGUUCUGAAUCAGGGUCCUACAUAUGGUACUGUUUCUCCCAUAGCCAGGAUUCACGGGUCCAGGAAUCAAGGGGUGGAAGUGGACCACUCACCAUCACCCCUAGUGAUCCACUAGCAAAAGUUUUCCUUCCUGUUCCCACAACAUUACAUUCUCCUGGCCUAGAGGUCUUAGUUCCAGAAGGAGGAAUGUUGCCUCCAGGAGACACAAAAAUGAUUCUAUUGAACUGCAAGUUAAGAUUGCCAUCUGGCCACCUUGUUCUCCUCCUACCUUUAAGUCAACAGGCUAAUAAGGGAGUUACAGUGUUGGCUGGAGUGAUUGACUCAGACUAUCAAGAUAAAAUCAGUCUACUCCACCACAAUGUAGAGAAAUGUAAGCUCCUCAAGAGCAAGGGUGCUUGUCCUAGCCAGCAAGACACUGCCUAGUACAUA